Molecule: ribosomal RNA, 460 nt
Filed under: uncultured bacterium
Lineage: Bacteria
Description: partial 16S ribosomal RNA
Rfam family: Bacterial small subunit ribosomal RNA
Source: RNAcentral
CCUACGGGUGGCAGCAGUGAGGAAUAUUGGUCAAUGGGCGCGAGCCUGAACCAGCCAAGUAGCGUGAAGGAUGACUGCCCUCUGGGUUGUAAACGUCUUUUAUAUGGGAAUAAAAUGUUCCACGUGUGGGAUUUUGUAUGUACCAUAUGAAUAAGGAUAGGCUAACUCAGUGACAGCAGCCGCGGUAAUACGGCGGAUCCGAGCGUUACCCUGAUUUAUUGGGUUUAAAGGGAGCGUAGGUGGAUUGUUAAGUCAGUUGGGAAAGUUUGGGGCUCAACCGUCAAAUUGCAUUUGAAACUGGCAGUCUUGAGUACAGUAGAGGUGGGCGGAAUUCGUGGUGUAGCGGUGAAAUGCUUAGAUAUCACGAAGAACACCGAUUGCGAAGGCAGUUCACUGGACUGCAACUGACGCUGAGGCUCGAAAGUGUGGGUAUCAAACAGGAUUAGAUACCCGAGUAGUC